AUUGAACGCUGGCGGUAGGCCUAACACAUGCAAGUCGAACGCGAAAGUCCUUCGGGAUGAGUAGAGUGGCGGACGGGUGAGUAACGCGUAGGAAUCUAUCCUGUAGUGGGGGAUAACGUUUCGAAAGGAACGCUAAUACCGCAUACGCCCAACGGGGGAAAGGCGGGGGAGUCUUCGGACCUCGUGCUAUAGGAGGAGCCUGCGUCGGAUUAGCUAGUUGGUGAGGUAAAGGCUCACCAAGGCGACGAUCCGUAGCUGGUCUGAGAGGAUGAUCAGCCACACCGGAACUGAGACACGGUCCGGACUCCUACGGGAGGCAGCAGUAGGGAAUAUUGCACAAUGGAGGAAACUCUGAUGCAGCGACGCCGCGUGAGUGAUGAAGGCC
Molecule: ribosomal RNA, 385 nt
Filed under: uncultured bacterium
Lineage: Bacteria
Description: bacterial SSU rRNA
Rfam family: Bacterial small subunit ribosomal RNA
Source: RNAcentral